CCAGGCUCUCCCAGCUGCCGGC
This 22-nucleotide microRNA is filed under the name Rattus norvegicus (Norway rat). RNAcentral's name for it is "rno-miR-6334". The record is from miRBase by way of RNAcentral. Lineage: Eukaryota; Metazoa; Chordata; Mammalia; Rodentia; Muridae.